RNAcentral lists this ribosomal RNA (498 nucleotides) under uncultured bacterium. RNAcentral describes it as "partial 16S ribosomal RNA". It matches the Rfam family "Bacterial small subunit ribosomal RNA", at positions 28 to 507 of the family's 1533-position model. The record is from RNAcentral.
GACGAACGCUGGCGGCGUGCCUAAUACAUGCAAGUCGAGCGGACGGAUGGGAGCUUGCUCCCAGACCGUCAGCGGCGGACGGGUGAGUAACACGUGGGCAACCUGCCUGUAAGACUGGGAUAACUCCGGGAAACCGGGGCUAAUACCGGAUAACUCUUUCCCUCCCAUGAGGGAAAGCUGAAAGAUGGCAUCUCGCUAUCACUUACAGAUGGGCCCGCGGCGCAUUAGCUAGUUGGUGAGGUAACGGCUCACCAAGGCGACGAUGCGUAGCCGACCUGAGAGGGUGAUCGGCCACACUGGGACUGAGGCACGGCCCAGACUCCUACGGGAGGCAGCAGUAGGGAAUCUUCCGCAAUGGACGAAAGUCUGACGGAGCAACGCCGCGUGAGUGAUGAAGGUUUUCGGAUCGUAAAACUCUGUUGUCAGGGAAGAACAAGUACCGGAGUAACUGCCGGUACCUUGACGGUACCUGACCAGAAAGCCACGGCUAACUACGUG